RNAcentral lists this ribosomal RNA (831 nucleotides) under marine metagenome. Its description in RNAcentral is "bacterial SSU rRNA". It matches the Rfam family "Bacterial small subunit ribosomal RNA", at positions 85 to 951 of the family's 1533-position model. The record is from RNAcentral.
CGGGAUUUAGUGGGCGCACGGGGUGAGUAACAUGGUGGGAAUCUACCUGAAGGUUCGGAAUAACUGCGGGAAACUGUAGCUAAUACCGGAUGUGUCUGCAAAGAGAAAGAUUUAUCGCCUUCAGAUGAGCCCGCACUAGAUUAGCUAGUUGGUGAGGUAAUUGCUCCACCAAGGCUACGAUCUAUAGCUGAUUUGAGAGGAUGAUCAGCCACACUGGGACUGAGACACGGCCCAGACUCCUACGGGAGGCAGCAGUAGGGAAUAUUGGACAAUGGGGGAAACCCUGAUCCAGCAAUGCCGCGUGAGUGAAGAAGGCCUUCGGGUUGUAAAACUCUUUCAUCAAUGAUGAUAAUGACAUUAGUUGAAGAAGAAGCUCCGGCUAACUUCGUGCCAGCAGCCGCGGUAAUACGAAGGGGGCUAGCGUUGUUCGGAAUCACUGGGCGUAAAGCGUAUGUAGGCGGAUCAAAAAGUUAGAUGUGAAAUCCCUGGGCUCAACCCAGGAACUGCAUUUAAAACUAGUGAUCUAGAAUUUGGUAAAGGUUAGUAGAAUUUCCAGUGUAGAGGUGAAAUUCGUAGAUAUUGGAAAGAAUACCAGAAGCGAAGGCGACUAACUAGGCCAUUUUUGACGCUGAGAUACGAAAGCGUGGGUAGCAAACAGGAUUAGAUACCCUGGUAGUCCACGCAGUAAACGAUGAGUGCUAGUCGCUGGGACAAUAGUUUCAGUGUCGAAGCUAACGCAUUAAGCACUCCGCCUGGGAAGUACGGUCGCAAGAUUAAAACUCAAAUAAAUUGACGGGGGCCCGCACAAGCGGUGGAGCAUGUGGUUUAAUU